UACGUAGGCAGCGAGCGUUGUUCGGAGUUACUGGGCGUAAAGGGUGUGUAGGCGGUUGUUUAAGUUUGGUGUGAAAUCUCCCGGCUCAACUGGGAGGGUGCGCCGAAUACUGAAUGACUUCGAGUGCGGGAGAGGAGAGUGGAAUUCCUGGUGUAGCGGUGAAAUGCGCAGAUAUCGGGAAGAACACCCGUGGCGAAGGCGGCUCUCUGGGACGGUACUGACGCUGAGACGCGAAAGCGUGGGGAGCGAACAGG
Molecule: ribosomal RNA, 254 nt
Filed under: uncultured bacterium
Lineage: Bacteria
Description: partial 16S ribosomal RNA
Rfam family: Bacterial small subunit ribosomal RNA
Source: RNAcentral